This is a long non-coding RNA of Chenopodium quinoa (quinoa), 516 nucleotides long. RefSeq lists it as uncharacterized. The transcript is spliced from 3 exons. The record is from RefSeq and is a predicted model, not a curated record. Lineage: Eukaryota; Viridiplantae; Streptophyta; Magnoliopsida; Caryophyllales; Amaranthaceae.
AUCGUUCAUCUUCUUCAUCCCUUUAACUCUCUCCCUUGUUCUCAUCCUUCUGAGAAACCUUGAUUGACGCACGAGUGAAGCAAAAUUCAUAGAGAUUUAGCGAUACUUUGUUGAUUGUAAAAGGGUGUUGAUCUUGCAUUGAAACAUGUGUGGCCUAAAGCAAAGAGAAGGUACUGUUGUAGACACUAGAGUAGAAAUUACAAGAAAUUAAAGUGUUCCUAGGUCCACUUAUGUGCAUUUUUUUAUGGAGGGCAUGCAAUGCAACUAACAUAUACACUUUUAGAAAAUCAAUGGAGAGACUUCAAAAGGAAGUUGGAGAAGAAGUCAUGAAAUGUUUGCAGAUUUAGGAGAAUAGUCUAAGUGGAGUAAACACAAAUUUGAUCCAAAUGUGUGCAAUGACUCCAACGCUUCAAAAUUUGAGAGUUGUAACUCAACACUUGGUGCUGACAGGUGCAGAUAUGUAUUGACAUUACUUGAAGGAGACUUUCAAGUGAGUGAUUUUAUUUAGUUGUGGCG